RNAcentral lists this ribosomal RNA (387 nucleotides) under uncultured bacterium. RNAcentral's name for it is "bacterial SSU rRNA". It matches the Rfam family "Bacterial small subunit ribosomal RNA", at positions 28 to 412 of the family's 1533-position model. The record is from RNAcentral.
GACGAACGCUGGCGGCGUGCCUAACACAUGCAAGUCGAACGGACAUAAACUCUUCGGAGUUUAUGUUAGUGGCGGACGGGUGAGUAACGCGUGAGCAACCUGCCUUUCAGAGGGGGAUAACGUUUGGAAACAAACGCUAAUACCGCAUAAGAUAGUAGUAUCGCAUGGUAUAGCUAUCAAAGGAGCAAUUCACUGAAAGAUGGGCUCGCGUCCGAUUAGAUAGUUGGUGAGGUAAUGGCUCACCAAGUCAGCGAUCGGUAGCCGGACUGAGAGGUUGAACGGCCACAUUGGGACUGAGACACGGCCCAGACUCCUACGGGAGGCAGCAGUGGGGGAUAUUGCACAAUGGGCGAAAGCCUGAUGCAGCAACGCCGCGUGAGGGAAGAC